GAUGAAGAACGCAGCGAAAUGCGAUAAGUAAUGCGAAUUGCAGAAUUCCAGUGAGUCAUCGAAUCUUUGAACGCACAUUGCGCCCGCCAGUAUUCUGGCGGGCAUGCCUGUCCGAGCGUCAUUUCAACCAUCAAGCCCCGGGCUUGUGUUGGGGACCUGCGUCCGACGCAGGCCCUGAAAACCAGUGGCGGGCUCGCUGUCCACACCGAGCGUAGUAACUAACCUCGCUAUGGAGUGGCGCGGGCGCCUGCCGUAAAACCCCCAAUUUCACAAGGUUGACCUCGGAUCAGGUAGGAAUACCCGCUGAACUUAAGCAUAUCAAUAAGCGGAGGA
Molecule: unclassified non-coding RNA, 333 nt
Filed under: soil metagenome
Description: partial contains 5.8S ribosomal RNA, internal transcribed spacer 2, and large subunit ribosomal RNA
Rfam family: 5.8S ribosomal RNA (bases 1-121)
Source: RNAcentral